GUCCAGACUCCUACGGGAGGCAGCAGUGGGGAAUAUUGCACAAUGGGGGAAACCCUGAUGCAGCGACGCCGCGUGAGUGAAGAAGUACUUCGUUAUGUAAAGCUCUAUCGGCAGGGAAGAAAAUGACGGUACCUGAGUAAGAAGCCCCGGCUAACUCCGUGCCAGCAGCCGCGGUAAUACGGAGGGGGCAAGCGUUGUCCGGAAUCAUUGGGCGUAAAGAGUUCGUAGGCGGUAUGUUAAGUCUGGUGUUAAAUGCAGAAGCUCAACUUCUGUUCGGCACUGGAUACUGGCAAACUAGAAUGCGGUAGAGGUAAAGGGAAUUCCUGGUGUAGCGGUGAAAUGCUUAGAUAUCAGGAGGAACAUCGGUGGCGUAAGCGCUUUACUGGGCCGUAAUUGACGCUGAGGAACGAAAGCCAGGAUAGCAAAUGGGAUUAGAUACCCGAGUA
RNAcentral lists this ribosomal RNA (446 nucleotides) under uncultured bacterium. Its description in RNAcentral is "bacterial SSU rRNA". It matches the Rfam family "Bacterial small subunit ribosomal RNA", at positions 329 to 792 of the family's 1533-position model. The record is from RNAcentral.